RNAcentral lists this long non-coding RNA (608 nucleotides) under Setaria viridis. RNAcentral describes it as "long non-coding RNA (SVIR_LNC001458)". Lineage: Eukaryota; Viridiplantae; Streptophyta; Magnoliopsida; Poales; Poaceae. The record is from RNAcentral.
UUCGAAAAUCUAGCGUGACAAGUAAAAGCAAGAGGAAUUCAAGGAAACUAAAUUGCUUUAAUAUAAAUUGUACAAAGUAAAUGAGAUCAAGUGGACAAACCACAAUGGAGACAUUGAAUUUUUUACCGGGGUUUAAGUGACUUGCCGGUCACCCCUAAUCCACAUGUGGAUUCAAUGUUCCAACCUCUCCUUAUCAAGGCACCAUUUGAUCUUAAGCCGAUUUGGAUCAAAGAACCACUGCACACAUCACUUCUACUAGAGUUGCUCUUCAUCACACCGAUGAGGCAAGCACAAAGUCUCUCACGAGCACACUGGACCUUGUCACAAGGUUCUAUUGAGAAAAUCACUGGAUCAUAGCACCACCACAUCGUCUAAGUGUCGGCAAACACCAAGAGUAAUAAGUCAUGGCACACUUGACGCUCCACCAAGUGCCUAAAGUUCAAAUUCCCAUAGUGCACUAGAAUCUUGCCUCUCACCCUCUCCUAGAACCAACAUGCUCCUAUCCAACCCGGACACUUCGUAAAAAGCUAACAAUUUUUAGCUUUGAUGUUCUUGGACUCUACGGAAAACUUGUCUAGAGGGCUACACAUCCCAACUGAAUGCUCGAC